CAGCCGCCGCGGGAAUACGAAGGGUGCAAGCGUUACUCGGGAUUACUGGGCGUAAAGCGUGCGUAGGUGGUUGUUUAAGUCCGUUGUGAAAGCCCUGGGCUCAACCUGGGAAUUGCAGUGGAUACUGGGCAACUAGAGUGUGGUAGAGGAUAGUGGAAUUUCCGGUGUAGCAGUGAAAUGCGUAGAGAUCGGAAGGAACAUCUGUGGCGAAGGCGGCUACCUGGACCAGCACUGACACUGAAGCACGAAAGCGUGGGGAGCAAACAGGAUUAGAUACCCCUGUAGUCCCUGUCUCUUAUAC
This 301-nucleotide ribosomal RNA is filed under the name uncultured bacterium. RNAcentral describes it as "partial 16S ribosomal RNA". It matches the Rfam family "Bacterial small subunit ribosomal RNA", at positions 509 to 807 of the family's 1533-position model. The record is from RNAcentral.